AUUGAACGCUGGCGGCAUGCCUUACACAUGCAAGUCGAACGGCAGCACGGGAGCAAUCCUGGUGGCGAGUGGCGAACGGGUGAGUAAUAUAUCGGAACGUGCCCAGUCGUGGGGGAUAACGUAGCGAAAGCUACGCUAAUACCGCAUACGAUCUAUGGAUGAAANCGGGGGAUCGCAAGACCUCGCGCGAUUGGAGCGGCCGAUAUCAGAUUAGGUAGUUGGUGAGGUAAAGGCUCACCAAGCCGACGAUCUGUAGCUGGUCUGAGAGGACGACCAGCCACACUGGGACUGAGACACGGCCCAGACUCCUACGGAGGCAGCAGUGGGGAAUUUUGGGACAAUGGGCGCAAGCCUGAUCCAGCAAUGCCGCGUGCAGGA
Molecule: ribosomal RNA, 378 nt
Filed under: uncultured bacterium
Lineage: Bacteria
Description: bacterial SSU rRNA
Rfam family: Bacterial small subunit ribosomal RNA
Source: RNAcentral